UUAACGGAGGAAAAGAAACUAACAAGGAUUCCCCUAGUAACGGCGAGUGAAGCGGGAAGAAGCUCAAAUUUGAAAUCUGGUAGCCUUCGGCUGCCCGAGUUGUAAUCUAGAGAAGUGUUUUCCGUGCCGGCCCAUGUACAAGUCCCUUGGAACAGGGCGUCAUAGAGGGUGAGAAUCCCGUCCUUGACAUGGACCCCCGGUGCUUUGUGAUACACUUUCAACGAGUCGAGUUGUUUGGGAAUGCAGCUCAAAAUGGGUGGUGAAUUCCAUCUAAAGCUAAAUAUUGGCGAGAGACCGAUAGCGAACAAGUACCGUGAGGGAAAGAUGAAAAGCACUUUGGAAAGAGAGUUAAACAGUACGUGAAAUUGUUGAAAGGGAAACGAUUGAAGUCAGUCAUGCUCUUUGGAUUCAGCCGUUCUGCGGUGUAUUUCCAUUGAGUGGGGUCAACAUCAGUUUUGAUCGCUGGAUAAAGGCACUAGGAAGGUAGCACUCUCGGGUGAACUUAUAGCCUAGCGUCAUAUACAGUGAUUGGGACUGAGGAACGCAGCAUGCCUUUAUGGCCGGGAUUCGUCCACGUACAUGCUUAGGAUGUUGACAUAAUGGCUUUAAACGACCCG
Molecule: ribosomal RNA, 617 nt
Filed under: Naganishia uzbekistanensis
Lineage: Eukaryota; Fungi; Basidiomycota; Tremellomycetes; Filobasidiales; Filobasidiaceae
Description: eukaryotic LSU rRNA
Rfam family: Eukaryotic large subunit ribosomal RNA
Source: RNAcentral